GUGAAUCUCUCUGCUGGUCUUGGGGUCUCGGUCCAGUCAGAUUCAGGCAGCGGGCCUCUCGACCGGCCCCCCUCACAGAGGACAGCAUUUGCCUAUACUGCCUAUGCCCAAGGCCAGCUUAGCUCCUGUGAAUGGAGAGAGACAGUAAAUCCAGGGGGAGAGCGGGGGGAUGAUGGCCCAGUAUGGAUUCAAACCCCGGGUCUUUGUGGUAAGGACACAGCCUCAGUACGGGAUACAUUCUCUACCAGGAUUGUGAUGCUGAUGAGACCUGGGCACAAGUAUCUGUUUGGGUGCUGACUGUUGUCCAUGAAGAUGUGCAACUCACUCCAAAUCAGCUCUGUCUUCACCCAUUGUCUACUGCCAUCUUUGUUGAGGGAGGUAUUGUAAUAGAUAAUUUCCAGAACCUACCCGAGGCCCUACUUUGCCUCUUGUUUGGACUGUCAUAUGCUUUACAUUUGGACUACCCUAAAGCCCUAAAUGAAAAACACUUUCGGCUUCAUUCAAAGACAGAUGCUUGGCUUGGGAGAGAACAAACUCCCACCAAAACUGCAAAGUCUUAAAAAUCCCUUAUUGAGUUUGAAUGCAAAUGUACAAGUGGUGACAUUUGGCAAAUCUCACUUGUUCAUGAGUGGAUUCAGUUGUUUUUUUAUGUUCACUCCACUCCACUCAAGUUGUCAGCCCAUGGGUUCAUCAGCAAGUUACUAGGGGCUAUAGAUGUAUGUAUAUUCAUUCACACAUACAUGAGAUCCACUGCCAGUCAUUACCCUCUCAGGUUUUUGCGCAUAUUGAAUGUCGCUUUGCACUUGUCGGCAAGUUGAAAAGGAAGAA
Molecule: long non-coding RNA, 828 nt
Organism: Acanthopagrus latus (yellowfin seabream)
Lineage: Eukaryota; Metazoa; Chordata; Actinopteri; Spariformes; Sparidae
Exons: 4
Source: RefSeq, a predicted model, not a curated record